This is a non-coding RNA of Herpailurus yagouaroundi (jaguarundi), 829 nucleotides long. The record is from the annotation of a RefSeq genome assembly. Lineage: Eukaryota; Metazoa; Chordata; Mammalia; Carnivora; Felidae.
GUGUGAUUGGUGCUCAGUGAUUCUGGAGGGACGUGGUGACUGUUGACAACACAACUUCUCUGACCCAAGACUCUACACUCUUCAGAGUAGGGGUGAAGGCACAUCAGCGACCAGACAAGGAGUCAUGAAGAGACAGCGGGGAGCCCUGCUGGGGCUUCUGUGGGUGCAGGUUUGCUGGGUGAGAGGGAUGGACGUGGAGCAGACACCUGCAGCCCUGAGCCUCCAGGAGGGAGCCAGCUCUACCCUGAGGUGCAAUUUUUCCAGCUCGGUGACCUACGUGCAGUGGUUCCGACAGAACCCCGGGGGCGGCGGCCUCACCCGACUGUUUUACAUAGUUUCAGGGAUGAAGCAGGAUGGGAGGUUGAACUGCACGGUGAACACUAAGGACCGGCACAGCAGCCUGCACAUCAUGGCCUCCCAGCAGGAAGACUCAGCCACCUAUCUGUGUGCUGUGGAGGCACAGUGCUCCCUGCUGCUCUGCAGCCUGUCCCCAAACUGCAACUGGGCUCGUGGCCCCAGCUCUUCAUGGGGCAGGCACUUAUUUGCCCACACAGGAGUUUUUGCACAUUUUCAUACUUAUGUUACAGUACUUUUUUCUCUCCUAAAAGUAACCCAUCAGGGCUGUCAUUUCACUUUUGCUUUUCUUGCCCUUUUUCUUCCCAGAAAGCCCUUUCCAGGUAAAAAGCUCUACCAUGGAACCAUUGGAGUAGUUGACGGAGAUGCCAAUAUCCAAUGCCCAGUUGAAACAUAUCUCCUGGCAGCUAGCAUAUAAAUUAUAUGUAAAUUACUCAGAGGGAAAAGGCUUGAAAACAUAUAUGGUCAUCAACCA